RNAcentral lists this ribosomal RNA (1450 nucleotides) under Escherichia coli. RNAcentral describes it as "partial 23S ribosomal RNA". It matches the Rfam family "Bacterial large subunit ribosomal RNA", at positions 55 to 1548 of the family's 2925-position model. RNAcentral also lists the same sequence under 1 other name. Lineage: Bacteria; Pseudomonadati; Pseudomonadota; Gammaproteobacteria; Enterobacterales; Enterobacteriaceae. The record is from RNAcentral.
GACGUGCUAAUCUGCGAUAAGCGUCGGUAAGGUGAUAUGAACCGUUAUAACCGGCGAUUUCCGAAUGGGGAAACCCAGUGUGAUUCGUCACACUAUCAUUAACUGAAUCCAUAGGUUAAUGAGGCGAACCGGGGGAACUGAAACAUCUAAGUACCCCGAGGAAAAGAAAUCAACCGAGAUUCCCCCAGUAGCGGCGAGCGAACGGGGAGCAGCCCAGAGCCUGAAUCAGUGUGUGUGUUAGUGGAAGCGUCUGGAAAGGCGUGCGAUACAGGGUGACAGCCCCGUACACAAAAAUGCACAUACUGUGAGCUCGAUGAGUAGGGCGGGACACGUGGUAUCCUGUCUGAAUAUGGGGGGACCAUCCUCCAAGGCUAAAUACUCCUGACUGACCGAUAGUGAACCAGUACCGUGAGGGAAAGGCGAAAAGAACCCCGGCGAGGGGAGUGAAAAAGAACCUGAAACCGUGUACGUACAAGCAGUGGGAGCGCGCUUAGGCGUGUGACUGCGUACCUUUUGUAUAAUGGGUCAGCGACUUAUAUUCUGUAGCAAGGUUAACCGAAUAGGGGAGCCGAAGGGAAACCGAGUCUUAACUGGGCGUUAAGUUGCAGGGUAUAGACCCGAAACCCGGUGAUCUAGCCAUGGGCAGGUUGAAGGUUGGGUAACACUAACUGGAGGACCGAACCGACUAAUGUUGAAAAAUUAGCGGAUGACUUGUGGCUGGGGGUGAAAGGCCAAUCAAACCGGGAGAUAGCUGGUUCUCCCCGAAAGCUAUUUAGGUAGCGCCUCGUGAAUUCAUCUCCGGGGGUAGAGCACUGUUUCGGCAAGGGGGUCAUCCCGACUUACCAACCCGAUGCAAACUGCGAAUACCGGAGAAUGUUAUCACGGGAGACACACGGCGGGUGCUAACGUCCGUCGUGAAGAGGGAAACAACCCAGACCGCCAGCUAAGGUCCCAAAGUCAUGGUUAAGUGGGAAACGAUGUGGGAAGGCCCAGACAGCCAGGAUGUUGGCUUAGAAGCAGCCAUCAUUUAAAGAAAGCGUAAUAGCUCACUGGUCGAGUCGGCCUGCGCGGAAGAUGUAACGGGGCUAAACCAUGCACCGAAGCUGCGGCAGCGACGCUUAUGCGUUGUUGGGUAGGGGAGCGUUCUGUAAGCCUGUGAAGGUGUGCUGUGAGGUAUGCUGGAGGUAUCAGAAGUGCGAAUGCUGACAUAAGUAACGAUAAAGCGGGUGAAAAGCCCGCUCGCCGGAAGACCAAGGGUUCCUGUCCAACGUUAAUCGGGGCAGGGUGAGUCGACCCCUAAGGCGAGGCCGAAAGGCGUAGUCGAUGGGAAACAGGUUAAUAUUCCUGUACUUGGUGUUACUGCGAAGGGGGGACGGAGAAGGCUAUGUUGGCCGGGCGACGGUUGUCCCGGUUUAAGCGUGUAGGCUGGUUUUCCAGGCAAAUCCGGAAA